UUCACCCACUUCUCUCUCUCUCUCUCUCUACACGACUGUUCAUGAAUGGUCUUCUUCGUGAUCUUCCACAGCUUUCUUGAACUGUGUUUGUAAAGGCUUCAUGCAAACGGAAUUUCCACCAACCACAAUUCAAGAAAGCUGUGGAAAACCGCUGAGAUGAUCUGCAUCGUCACCUGUACUCUCUCACAGUACUAUCAACCAAUACAUCAGCAGAAUUUUCGUUUUGGAGGUGCUGUCGCAGCACACAGAGCUAACGAAGGGACCGCCGUUUGUCUUCUUUCUUGAGAACAUCACCACAUAUUCAUGCAGGUUCCGGUGACGAAAUACCAGAUCUCUUCCGUCUGCUCCGAUCUGGAAACUGAGCUAACCGACGCUUACGGUUACAUUUCGCUGUAGCUACUGGAUGCAUUAUCGAACAACUCCAACAAAAGUAAAUCUGAUAUAUACUCUGCUAUGAUCUCUUUUUUAUUACCUCUUGUGGCCCUUAAUUCUCAACUCCAAUAGGUUCUGUGCCUUUUCACGCAUUUGAUGUUUUCGGUUCUUCUGAGCAGCAUCCUUGAAACUGCCCAGUUUGGUAAAAGAGACACGCAGGCGUGACGCACAUGAAGGUGAAAAUUUUCGACAUUAGUUGAAGCGGAGGCUUCGUUUUUCCUCUGGAGCAGAAAAGAAAUUGUACGUUACCAGUGCCGCUCGUUGUCAAUACGUACAAGCAAGCUUCACCCUCACCCUCUCCUCCCUUCUUUCUUUUUUUGUUUUAAUGUUUAAUUCUUCCGUAUUCUGAUUUUCUCUCCUUCAAUACAAGAUAGCUCCUUCUUUUCAUGAUCCAAAUUUAUGGGAUUUUCUCAUGACAAUGCUGAAAUAAAUCAAGUAAUCAAGAAUCAUUUGAAUUACUGGACAGAAUAAAUCCACGUUGUGUGAUUUUUUCUUCUUCUUUGUUUUGCAGACAAUCAUUAGCCCAUCCCUUCAUAGCAGAAAGGCGCACAACUUGUUUCCUUUUUUCUUCAACGGCGGUUGCUAGUGACAGGCCACCACUGUCCACUGUGGCGUGAUGAGGUGCUUUGGCUCAAGGGUGCAGGCGGCAUGUGGUCUUGUCUAGAGACGCUCCUGUGUUAAUUCUCAUAUCUUUAGAACUCUGUCUCUCAACCCAAAGUCAUUGGGAGGGGAAAAUUUGCUAUAUUCCUCGUGUCGUGAACCAUAUGUAAUUUGAUUCGGAAUUGUAUGAUUCCAUUAUUAUGUCACAAGUUUCGCUGGGUUCAUGUGAAAAUUGAAUCUAAAAAUCUCAGUUCUUUAGCUUCC
Molecule: long non-coding RNA, 1296 nt
Organism: Prosopis cineraria
Lineage: Eukaryota; Viridiplantae; Streptophyta; Magnoliopsida; Fabales; Fabaceae
Exons: 2
Source: RefSeq, a predicted model, not a curated record